Molecule: unclassified non-coding RNA, 240 nt
Filed under: soil metagenome
Description: partial contains 5.8S ribosomal RNA, internal transcribed spacer 2, and large subunit ribosomal RNA
Source: RNAcentral
AAGACUAUAGACCUGCGGAGUACCUGCGGAAGGAUCAUUAACGUAUCUAUGAUGGGGUGCGGAGCGCCCUGCUCCGGUCGAACGGCCGUGCAGUGGGAGCGCCGCCCCCGUCCCACCUCACAAACCCACUGUGAACAUUCACCGGUGGAGGGGGCUCGGUCUGCGCCGUGUCCCCGAUGCCGAAUACCCAAACUCCAGUUGCAAAGAACGUCGUGCGGACUCGGUGCCGCCUAAAACAUG